This 207-nucleotide ribosomal RNA is filed under the name uncultured bacterium. RNAcentral describes it as "partial 16S ribosomal RNA". It matches the Rfam family "Bacterial small subunit ribosomal RNA", at positions 568 to 774 of the family's 1533-position model. The record is from RNAcentral.
AGCGUAGACGGUGAGACAAGUCUGAAGUGAAAUCCCGGGGCUCAACCCCGGAACUGCUUUGGAAACUGCCUGACUAGAGUGCAGGAGAGGUAAGUGGAAUUCCUAGUGUAGCGGUGAAAUGCGUAGAUAUUAGGAGGAACACCAGUGGCGAAGGCGGCUUACUGGACUGUAACUGACGUUGAGGCUCGAAAGCGUGGGGAGCAAACA